CGAAAGGCCCUUCGGGUACUCGAGUGGCGAACGGGUGAGUAACACGUGGGUGAUCUGCCUGCACUUUGGAUAAGCCUGGGAAAUGGGUCUAAUACCGAAUAGACCGCAUGCUUCAUGGUGUGUGGUGGAAGCUUUGCGGUGUGGGAUGGGCCGCGGCCUAUCAGCUUGUUGGUGAGGUAAUGGCUUACCAAGGACGACGGGUAGCCGGCCUGAGAGGGUGACCGGCCACACUGGGACUGAGAUACGGCCCAGACUCCUACGGAGGCAGCAGUGGGAAUAUUGCACAAUGGCGCAAGCCUGAUGCAGCGACGCCGCGUGAGGAUGACGGCCUUCGGGUUGUAAACCUCUUCGCCAGGGACGAAGCGCAAGUGACGGUCCUGGAGAAGAAGGACCGGCCAACUACGUGCCAGCAGCCGCGGUAAUACGUAGGUCCGAGCGUUGUCCGGAAUUACUGGGCGUAAAGAGCUCGUAGGUGGUUCGCGUUGUUCGUGAAAACUCACAGCUUAACUGUGGGCGUGCGGGCGAUACGGGCAGACUUGGUACUGCAGGGGAGACUGGAAUUCCUGGUGUAGCGGUGGAAUGCGCAGAUAUCAGGAGGAACACCGGUGGCGAAGGCGGGUCUCUGGGCAGUAACUGA
RNAcentral lists this ribosomal RNA (637 nucleotides) under bacterium. Its description in RNAcentral is "bacterial SSU rRNA". It matches the Rfam family "Bacterial small subunit ribosomal RNA", at positions 67 to 743 of the family's 1533-position model. The record is from RNAcentral.